Molecule: non-coding RNA, 1015 nt
Organism: Schizosaccharomyces pombe (fission yeast)
Lineage: Eukaryota; Fungi; Ascomycota; Schizosaccharomycetes; Schizosaccharomycetales; Schizosaccharomycetaceae
Source: the annotation of a GenBank genome assembly
AGUGACACCUUCGCCGAAAAAGUCGCCCAAAUCGUUUUCUGUUAAGUCAAAACUCAAGUUUCCAACAUGAGCUGUAAAAGGGGGUUCAGAAGGGAUGGGAAUGGCAUCACGUUGGUAACCACUUCCCAUUCCACCCUCGCGACGGCUUUCGGGAGGACUUCUAACUGACUCAAACGUGGAAGAAGGAGCAUUGUAUCCGGCGUCAGCAGAGCUAGGAGUAGCACGAUACGUAGAUGUGGUGCGGUCUUGGGCUAAUAGAUAAAUUGAGUUAGCUAAGCAAUUUCAAAAGAUUAAAUAGAAAAAUGAUGGAGCCCAAAAAUGAGAGCCGAAAAUUAAUAGAAAUUUUCGGAUUCCUAAAAAACACCCCACUCCAAUUCAAUCCAAAAUUUUCCAUUAUAAAAAACAAAAUACUUACGCAAAGCUGGCAAAUCAUCAAUAUCAUCAGCCCAGUUAGUCGAACCAAACGACUCGUCACCCAAAAAGGCGUUCAAACUCAUUUUCGUACUCUGAUAUCGUUCAGCAAACAUGCCUAAUUACCUAAACAAACCUUUUUCGGACCUAUUAUUAAUAACUCAUGAUCAAAAACACAACUUGCCCAUUAUGAAAUAUUUUCUUUUAGAUCUUCACUUUUUACUAACAAGAUCGUUUUCUUCGUCGUUCUCGACAGAUUUAAUAUUUGCGAUUCUUGGCGCGCUGGUCCACAAGAGCGUAGCCCAGUGAUGCCGUGACUGCUCAAUAGUAGAACGACUGAAGCAUUCCCGCCUGCUGUAUUUGCUAAGGCGAGAAAAAGGGAGAAUUGGGAGACGUCUCUAUUCCUCACAGUCAUGGAUAAUGAGGAUUAAAUCAUUUCGGUAAAUCAAGCAUGGAGGAAUUUUUGUGAAUGUGAGCAUUAUAAUCGCAUAACGAUAAGUAGCGUGUUGAGCAAAGAGGAUUGGAUGGAAGUAGUUUUUUUAUUGUAAAUAAAUCAAUGGAAAAUUGGAUAUGGAACCAUUGUAGCGUUUGCAAUUUGAUGGAA